GGGGAUUUAGCUCAGCGGCAUAAGCGCCUGCCUUGCAAGCAGGCAGUCGUGAGUUCAAUCACCA
This 64-nucleotide transfer RNA is filed under the name Cavia porcellus (domestic guinea pig). It matches the Rfam family "tRNA". Rfam says of the family: Transfer RNA (tRNA) molecules are approximately 80 nucleotides in length. The record is from Rfam by way of RNAcentral. Lineage: Eukaryota; Metazoa; Chordata; Mammalia; Rodentia; Caviidae.